AAGAUGCCCAUAGGAACAUUGGCCCCUGAUAAGCUGUUGAGUCACUGGACAUACAAGUGGACAAUUUCAGUGACUUGCAAAUACCACUGAUGGCUCUUGAAUUAUUCUGACAAUGUACAUAUCAGAGCUCUGUUGUGGAUUAUAUCACCACCAUUAAGAAUAUUUUUUAGGAAGUGGCCCGUGGUUGGCUCGUGUUUUCAUGAUCUGGUUUGUUUGGAAAUAAGUUCUGGACCUCAGAGUUUUUUGAGGAUAAAAUUUCUAAGACUUUUGAUCUGCUUUGUUGGAAAAUGGACAGCGGAUCUGUUGGUGCUGGGAAUCAGCUUCUCCAUGUGGACAUCCAUAUUGAUGAGCAUGAACCUUGUAGAGGAAUCCUGGACCUUCUCAGCAGACUCCGUCCUCAUUGGAAGGCACAGGACAUUCAGAUGAAGACUUUCACAGAGGGCAUCACCAACCAGCUGAUCGGCUGCUACGUGGGCUCUCUGCAGGAGCCUGGUUGUGUUCUGGUGCGACUGUACGGCAGAAUGACGGAGCUCUAUGUGAACCGGGACCGGGAGGUGGAGAUGUUCCAGGUCUUCCACGCCCACGGCUGCGGUCCACAGAUCUACUGCAGCUUCCAGAACGGCAUCUGCUACGAGUUUGUUAGAGGAACAGUGCUGGAUGAUGAGUUGCUCCGGCAACCCUCCAUCUACAGAUUGAUCGCAGCAGAGAUGGGGAGAAUCCACUCGAUCCAGCCAAAAUGUGGUUUGUCUGUUGAACCUCUGCUCUGGACAAAAAUGUCCCACUUUCUCACACUGGUGCAGAGCAGUAUCAACAGCAGCCCAGCAGAGCCGCGCUGCACAAAAAGUUCUGUGGCUCUACAAGAGGUGCCCAGCUUUGAGACUUUGUCAGCGGAAAUGGAGUCGUUGAGGAGACACCUCUCGCAGAUCGACUCGCCAACGGUCCUCUGCCACAAUGACCUCCUGACAAAAAACAUAAUAUACAACCAUAACGAGGGAAUGGUGAAAUUCAUUGACUACGAGUACGCCGAUUACAACUACCAGGCCUUCGAUAUUGGCAAUCACUUCAACGAAUUUGCCGGUGUAAAUGAUGUUAACUACAGCCUCUAUCCGAGCCGGGAGCUGCAGAGGGACUGGCUGACUGCCUAUCUGGAGAGUUACAAGCACAGCACAGGACGUGAGGUCACUGUUACAGAGGCAGAAGUUACGCAGCUCUACAUUCAAGUCUGCAAAUUCUCACUGGCAUCCAACUUCUUCUGGGGUCUUUGGGCCAUCCUGCAAUCACGCUACUCCUCUAUUGACUUUGACUUCCAAAGAUAUGUUACCAUACAGUGAGCGUACAAUGGCUGAAAUCGGCUUCCUGCUGCUGCUGGCAAACAAGCUGAGAGCGCUGACACUGAACCUUUAAAACCAAAACAACGAGCUAGAGGAGGCUCAAAAGCUUGUGUAGAGUCAGAUACGCCAUGUCACGACUCAACUUCUACUUUGAGAAGAAAGAGGAAUAUUUUGGAUUGACAAUGAUCUAGACACAGAGAAUAAAGGACCAGCAUUUUUGAAAUAAGUAGUAUUACUUUCUCCAAGAAGAGUUUUCAGUGAUGUGACACGUGUCCUUCUUUGUUGCAUUGUACAAUAUCCACUGUGGAGUGAAGGCAUACACUAAGCUUAUAAAAGUGCUCCCCAUUGUUUGUUAUUUCAGGCUGUAGUGUGAGUUAAUAUGUUUUGCUAUCACUGUGAUUUUUAAAAUAUUUGUUUUACCACAGUCAAUAUGCCGAUAAGCCUAUUUGGCAAAUUGAGAUGAAGCUCACGCCAGAAACACAUUAAUUGUUCCCACAUUUAGCCGGGUCGCAUAAAGCCACAAAAACUGAGCCUGAUCAUAAAACCCAUAAGAGGGUUAUUUGCAAUGUGUACCACAGUUCUGAUGGAAAACAAGCUUUCAUUUCAACUUAUUUAGUGCACCAAGUAGUGAAUUAUUUUAAAUCUUUCUCUUUCCUAAGCACUUGUUGUUAAGCUGCUUAGUAGGAACCUUAUGGGAUGUUAAAGCAAGCAGCAAAUUCACAAAUGUAUCAUAAUUUAAAUGUCAAAACAGUGUAUAAAGACAAUGUAAAGGCAGCAUUUGAUUCUGAAUCAGAUUUGUGGAGCUAAAAUCAUGUCACAAAUUUGUUCUAAUCUUAGUGAGUAGUGAAAUGCCUCAAGAGUCAGCGAUUUGUCCACAUCGAUAAAAGAUUUUCAGCUCCCAAAAAGUCACCGUAAAAAGCAUCUAUUCUCACUGAACGACAGACUGAAAGUGCUGUUACUACUCUUCUGUUCGACUGAUUUUCACAACACAGCAGCAGAUUUUGGAGAUUUUGAUUUACAGGUGCUGUUUACCUAUGAUACUGACAACAGCUAAAUUAAACUUAACUCCUUGGA
Molecule: RNA transcript, 2405 nt
Organism: Lates calcarifer (barramundi perch)
Lineage: Eukaryota; Metazoa; Chordata; Actinopteri; Centropomidae
Exons: 9
Source: RefSeq, a predicted model, not a curated record